GACGAACGCUGGCGGCGUGCCUAAUACAUGCAAGUAGAACGCACAGUUUAUACCGUAGCUUGCUACACCAUAAACUGUGAGUUGCGAACGGGUGAGUAACGCGUAGGUAACCUGCCUGGUAGCGGGGGAUAACUAUUGGAAACGAUAGCUAAUACCGCAUAAUAUUGAUUAUUGCAUGAUAAUUGAUUGAAAGAUGCUAUUGCAUCACUACCAGAUGGACCUGCGUUGUAUUAGCUAGUAGGUGAGGUAACGGCUCACCUAGGCGACGAUACAUAGCCGACCUGAGAGGGUGAUCGGCCACACUGGGACUGAGACACGGCCCAGACUCCUACGGGAGGCAGUAGUAGGGAAUCUUCGGCAAUGGACGAAAGUCUGACCGAGCAACGCCGCGUGAGUGAAGAAGGGUUUCGGAUCGUAAAGCUCUGUUGUAAGAGAAGAACGGGUGUGAGAGUGGAAAGUUCACACUGUGACGGUAUCUUACCAGAAAGGGACGGCUAACUACGUG
Molecule: ribosomal RNA, 505 nt
Filed under: uncultured bacterium
Lineage: Bacteria
Description: partial 16S ribosomal RNA
Rfam family: Bacterial small subunit ribosomal RNA
Source: RNAcentral